CUCUGCUUCUAUGGCUGCAGCACAGGCUGUGACAUCACCAGAUCGCUUCCUUUGCACUACUAACAAUCAGAGUCCCAACUGGGACAGACCUCAGGCCUGUGAGACCCUACCAUGGACAUAAUUCUCCCCUGCUGGAUAAUCUUUGGUCUCCUGAGGGCGGCACACAUGGCACCAGGGGUCAAGCAAACACCCAGACACAAGAUCACUGAGAUGGGACAGCCUGUGACUCUGAGGUGUGACCCCAUUUCUGGUCAACAGAACAUCUAUUGGUACCGACAGACUGCAGAAAAAGGCAUGGAGUUUAUGGCUUACCUUCUUGAUAAGACCCCCACAGAUAAGGCAGACUUUUUCAGGGAUAGAUUCUCAGCAGAGAAGCCUGAAGGAUCAUACUCCAAUCUGAAGAUUGAUCCUGUGCAGCUGGGAGACUCAGCCAUGUAUCUCUGUGCCAGCAGUGCAGCCACAGCCACACACAGACAUUUCCUGUCCCUACAAAAUCUCAGUACCUCCCCCACUCCCCAGCCUCUGAGUGGCCCUUCUUUCCUCUGGAGGCAGGGAUGUGUAGCUGGUGCAGUGGUUGCUUGUAGUCAGGGCUGA
Molecule: non-coding RNA, 594 nt
Organism: Cavia porcellus (domestic guinea pig)
Lineage: Eukaryota; Metazoa; Chordata; Mammalia; Rodentia; Caviidae
Source: the annotation of a RefSeq genome assembly